Molecule: ribosomal RNA, 433 nt
Filed under: uncultured bacterium
Lineage: Bacteria
Description: partial 16S ribosomal RNA
Rfam family: Bacterial small subunit ribosomal RNA
Source: RNAcentral
AACGAACGCUGGCGGCAUGCCUAACACAUGCGAGUCGAACGAGACCUUCGGGUCUAGUGGCGCACGGGUGCGUAACGCGUGGGAACCUGCCCUUAGGUUCGGAAUAACUCCUCGAAAGGGGUGCUAAUACCGGAUAAUGUCUUCGGACCAAAGAUUUAUCGCCUUUGGAUGGGCCCGCGUUGGAUUAGCUAGUUGGUAGGGUAAAAGCCUACCAAGGCGACGAUCCAUAGCUGGUCUGAGAGGAUGAUCAGCCACACUGGGACUGAGACACGGCCCAGACUCCUACGGGAGGCAGCAGUGGGGAAUAUUGGACAAUGGGCGAAAGCCUGAUCCAGCAAUGCCGCGUGAGUGAUGAAGGCCUUAGGGUUGUAAAGCUCUUUUACCCGGGAUGAUAAUGACAGUACCGGGAGAAUAAGCUCCGGCUAACUCCGUG